RNAcentral lists this long non-coding RNA (220 nucleotides) under Elaeis guineensis (African oil palm). RNAcentral's name for it is "long non-coding RNA (EGUI_LNC016897)". The record is from RNAcentral. Lineage: Eukaryota; Viridiplantae; Streptophyta; Magnoliopsida; Arecales; Arecaceae.
GGCUAAAAGACUCAAAAUCCAAUCAAAGACUAUCUAGGUCAUAUCUGACUCGACACGCAACAAAAUAAGAGUUAACUAAAUAGAUAAUAUGAAUAAAUUGAAAAGAUGUGACCAACAUGCAAUAGCAGUAUAUAAACCAUCAACAAGCAAGCACUCCUCUCAAACAGUCAUCUACUCCUUCAGCUGCUGUUCACUCUUCGACCUCUUCUUGAACUCAACC